UACGGGGGGAGCAAACGUUGUUCGGAGUUACUGGGCGUAAAGGGCGUGUAGGUGGUAAUGUAAGUCUGGCGUGAAAUUUUUCGGCUUAACCGGGAAAGGUCGUCGGAUACUGCAUCACUAGAGGACGGUAGAGGCGUGUGGAAUUCCGGGUGUAGUGGUGAAAUGCGUAGAUAUCUGGAGGAACACCGGAGGCGAAGGCGGAUCACUGGACUGCCACUGACGCUGAGGCGCGAAAGCUAGGGGAGCAAACAGG
This 253-nucleotide ribosomal RNA is filed under the name uncultured bacterium. RNAcentral's name for it is "partial 16S ribosomal RNA". It matches the Rfam family "Bacterial small subunit ribosomal RNA", at positions 524 to 776 of the family's 1533-position model. The record is from RNAcentral.